This is a non-coding RNA of Saimiri boliviensis boliviensis (Bolivian squirrel monkey), 729 nucleotides long. The record is from RefSeq and is a predicted model, not a curated record. Lineage: Eukaryota; Metazoa; Chordata; Mammalia; Primates; Cebidae.
AUGGCAAAUGUAGCAAGUGUCCCCGCGGGUGUUGCGACUGGCCGGCGUCCAGGCGUUGGGAACCGCCCCGCGCCCGCCUCCCGACUGAACUCCUGGCUCAGGUGCAAGUGGCGGCAGGCUCACCGCGGGGCUCCCGGGGAGAAGGGGACGCUGGGCGCAGCACCGCUUCCGGGGCGGCCCCUCUCCAGCCGCACUCCGACCCGGCGCGGCCACCCGGCCCCCGCUCACAGGUCCCACUGCUGCGCCCUCUCGGGGACGCGAAUUCCCCGCGCCGGGCGGGCGCCCGCGGAGGGAGGUCCCGCUUUAGGGGCGCGGAGCUCCAGGUGCCUGCGCGCAAGGCCCCUCGCCUGGCACCGGCUGGUCCCGAACUUCGGGGAAUGCACCUCCGGGAAGGGGGCCCGCGCGUGUUUGGAGGUCCGUCCCCUCGCCGCCACCCUCCAGGGCGGCAAGGGCACCCACCUGCGGAGCGGGAAGCCCAAGAACGCUCGAAAAGGGUGUGGCCUCAGCUAGGACGCGGCUGCGAACACAGAGCCCGGGAGAAGUUUGCCGACGGUCGCUCUGCCAGAGGGGCGCCCCGCUGCCCAACUCUUUUUUCCUCCAUCCGCCUGGCCCCAGCUCCCGCCCGCCCUUCGCCUCCGGGCCCUGGCCUGGCCACAGCCGCGGGGACUUGCCUGCGGCUCCACGGCCAGGUGGCUGCCGCACAGAGACCUGACCUGGAGAACCAGCUGA